UAAUACCAUGUGUCGUUACCCGGAUGAUCGACGACGUGAUGUGUUUACGUUCUGUGAUAGUUGUUGACGAGUCCCUUGUUUGUCCUGAGCACUUAAACCGCCCGCUGUUCUUCAGACAAAUCCUCCAGGUCCGGCACUUUCUUUACUUUUCCAGCAUCUUCUGCUUAUUUGACCGCUUUCCUUUAAACAGCGACUAUAUGAUGUCGAGAUCCGUCUUUUCAAACCGAGGACGACUGAGGGACUCGACUCAUACACGACUAUUACACAAGAAUUGUGUCCGAUGGAAGAAUGAAAACACUUCUCAUCGCCACGUUACAGUGAUUCUUUCUAUCGAUAUCAAUUCCUGUCUGUUUUGACCUGUUCAACCUGAUUAAUGUGUGUUAGAAAUAAAGUGCUCAGAAAUCUGUACACCCGAACCCGAUUCAAAUAUAUUAUACUGUCAGAUUAACUUUCACAGAUUGGGAUUAGCACCUCUACUGUCUGAUUAACACGUAUUGUGUUGAAUUAUGUGUUCUUGUUGAAAUAAAGUGCAUUCACUCUGUCUUGGGGGGUUUUAGACUAGCUAGUUCUUCCUUUCGGACCCUGGGGUUGGCUAGUAAUUCUAAUUAAAUGCGUUUUUUUGCUAAUUCUAUGCUACAUUCUGUGUUAAUCGUAUGCUUAAAACAACAACAAACCAAAAAAUACCUUUUAAGUUCAACCCUAUUACUUAUUUUAACAGGGAAUUUCAGCCAGUGUUGACAAAGACACGUUGUUAAAACACCAGAGCUUAAUGACACCACAAGCAUGAAACCACACUUACAUUAAAUGUGUCUGUG
This is a long non-coding RNA of Ictalurus punctatus (channel catfish), 815 nucleotides long. The record is from Ensembl. Lineage: Eukaryota; Metazoa; Chordata; Actinopteri; Siluriformes; Ictaluridae.